CCUUAGGUCAUCCGCCCAACUGCAGUCUACUGUAAGGAGUUUUCCUUCCUACAACAAAAAUAUCAACAGGAUUCCUCUUCCUCUGCUAAGUGUUCCGCAGCCUAUGGUUCCAACCAGACGGGCGUCUUUGGGCACUAUAGGAAUUAUUAAUAACUCUUUUGCAAAUGUGGGUUUCUUGACUUUCAAGUGGACCACAAGUUAAAGGAGGACUUUUCGAAGCACUCUUUCUUCCCUCUCAGCUGGUGAUCUGAAGAGUAGGCUGUGUUCUUUCUCUCUGCCACAAUGCCAUGACCUACAAUAAUGAUGUUUCAACAAGCAAGACUUAAUCAACAGAUUUUUCAAAGGUAAAAUUUUCAUUUGGACCUGAUUUUAAUAGAGCAGUGCCUUCUUAGUUGGAAACUAAAGUUGGUUUUUAGGCCAGAUCCUCUGCUGAUGGAACUUGUUAUCUCUCUAAUCAAGCAUGUAGAGGAUUAGGUACAGACUUCCAUGUGAUUUCCAGAAGUGGAACCAGAGUCUAUUAAGUCUCCAAGCAUUUCAGCCUGCCAGAGCUGGUGCACCUUUGCCUUUGUCCGUAGUUGCUAUAAAGCAUGUAUAUAAUACAUUACAAAGGCCAGAAGCUGCCCAAAGAAAUGCUGCUGCAGAAGUCUUAGCUUAUGCAUCUAUCAGUGGCCUAGCAUUAAUUCCAACCGUGAGUGGAAACUGUGUUAGCUUCAUAUAUCUUACUAUCACAGAGCUGGCAGGAGCUGUUCUCCCAAGGCAGCUGCACAAGUGCUCCCGUGGCAAGCACCUACCCCAUCUCCCACUGACAUUAAAUGUUGAAGGGAGCUAUCAGAAGAGGUCACCUUUGCCUCCCAUGUUCACUAGGUGAAGGGCAUUAUUCACAGGAGAGCCUUGGCAGCACCAGCUUGAGGGCCUCUAACAAGGAGGUUUGGCCCUUUAAGAAACAGGAGUCAGCCCUGUUGAG
This is a long non-coding RNA of Alligator mississippiensis (American alligator), 964 nucleotides long. RefSeq lists it as uncharacterized. NCBI's taxonomy places the organism in Eukaryota, Metazoa, Chordata, Crocodylia, Alligatoridae. The transcript is spliced from 6 exons. The record is from RefSeq and is a predicted model, not a curated record.